Molecule: long non-coding RNA, 1011 nt
Organism: Daphnia pulex (common water flea)
Lineage: Eukaryota; Metazoa; Arthropoda; Branchiopoda; Diplostraca; Daphniidae
Exons: 4
Source: RefSeq, a predicted model, not a curated record
GCAGAUUUGAGGCCUGAGCUAGUCGUCACUACCACAAGACAUGCAAGUGUUGCUUGUGCUGGAAUUGAUCUGCCUCCAAAAACAAUCUCAUGAAAUCGCUGUACAAGAUAAACAACAUCCCGUUGGAUUGGAAUGGAGAAACUACUGAUGUCAGCCGAGUUACGGAUCUAUUCUUCCCCUUUCUUUUAAUUCCCUCUAUCCUCGUGUACACCCAUGUGUGUGUGGUGGAUUUCACUAUUCAGCGGAUGGAUCACAUGCUGGAUGCCUGGCCGUAGAUUUACCAGGCUUAAAGAUGACGCGGAGGUGUUGGCCGUUGAGCGGAUUGGGCGUCGAUGAGAAACCGGGAAUGGAAAUGAAGAACCAAGUGAAUAAUACUAAGAAAGGUAAGAGCGACAUUGCGAUUCAGUUGAACGUACCAGCUGCCAGAUUAGUAUCUAGUGCUGUCUUUGUUGCCAGCAACGUUCUCUUAAAUAUCCGACCACAAUAUUCAACGUGCGCAGUAAUGCACUGGCUUGAAACAAAAAUGUUUGUUGUGGAGUUGGUCGGACUAUUGUAAAUAAUUUUAAAAUUCAUUUACUGUCUCAUGUGAUGGAUGCGUUGCUACUCGUAUACAUCUUGUUUUGUCCAAAAGUGGAAUAUGGAGUUGCAGGCAAAUAUUUUGAAUUUUAUUUUCGGUCGGUCCUUUUACGUUGCAUGUAAAUCCAAGUUUAAUAAAGCGUGUGCAUUAUUCGUAUUCGAUGGAGUUGUUCGAUCCUCUGCGGCAUGUGAGAUUAAUGCGAACGCCUUAGAUAUUUCGGAUUCAAUCCACUAAAGGAAACAUCAAAUUUUUUUCCCCUCGAUUCAAUCAAAAUGGAUUGAGCAUUUCCCUUUUCACGAAAGUCUGCUGUGAUAUUCAAACUCGAUCCUUUAUGUCAAUAUCAGCUGUAUGCAGUCUAGUUUCCUGUUUUGCCAGUCACGCUGCUGGAUGUCAACUGAAAAGAUUGCAAUAACCCGGAAAAAAUUCGAUGCAGC